This 858-nucleotide unclassified non-coding RNA is filed under the name Leishmania donovani. RNAcentral describes it as "gene:unknown". Lineage: Eukaryota; Euglenozoa; Kinetoplastea; Trypanosomatida; Trypanosomatidae. The record is from RNAcentral.
CCGCAAGGCUCACCUUCAUUCAUGAGCUGAUCGCUUGUGGGCCCCACCCACACCUCACACGCCGAAGUACCCCUGGCUGCGAGUACUCGCAUACACACACAUAUAUGUAGGGCACACUGCCCACACCUCUCGCACCCCAUCAAGAGCGAAUGGGGCAUUACACACCCGACGAGUGGUCGCUGUAGCGGCGCUGCUUCGCUUCAAACCCCCCCGACGCCACGCGUCGCGCUCGGUGUGCGCGUGCCGGGCUCGGGUCUGGAUGGGCGGUCGCACGCUCACAGUCUUCGGGCCCGAUGGCGAGGGAGUCUCCCUCGACGAGCGCACCCGCGUCUCCGUGCAGAUCGCACCCUGGGACACCCUGGGGGACUUGGCGCCUGAGCCAAAGAUGACGGCUGCAGGAAGCGCAGGGCUUGUCGGCGCCGGGCACAUGUAACGAUGACAGAGCCAGGCUGCGUAGAAGGCGCAGCCCCCACCCCUCAGGCUACGGCAGGAUACGUGCGCUCAGCAGACAAAUUGGUAAAUCGCCGUUUCUCUCGCCGGCAGGGCGGAGGGGUGGCACUUGCAAAGGGGCGCGUUGGAGGCGAGGCCUCUCACUACCACAUCCUGUGUAGAGCCACGAAACCAAAAGCCACCGCAAACCGUCAUACAUGUGCGGAUGCGCCCCCGCGGGACACUCAAGUGGACGUGCGCGCACCACCGUCGUCCGCUCCCCCUCCUAAGGGUAGCCGGGUGAGGGGCACCCCAGCACUACUUCUCUCUCCUGGGGGAGGGGCGUAUAUGUCUGUUCAUGUGUGCUUGCCCCCUUCCGUCACUCUGUCGCUGCAGUCCUUUCCCCUCUCUACCUUUAUAUCCGCCGAG